RNAcentral lists this ribosomal RNA (460 nucleotides) under uncultured bacterium. RNAcentral describes it as "partial 16S ribosomal RNA". It matches the Rfam family "Bacterial small subunit ribosomal RNA", at positions 338 to 795 of the family's 1533-position model. The record is from RNAcentral.
CCUACGGGGGGCAGCAGUGAGGAAUAUUGGUCAAUGGACGAGAGUCUGAACCAGCCAAGUAGCGUGAAGGAUGACUGCCCUAUGGGUUGUAAACUUCUUUUAUAUGGGAAUAAAACGUUCCACGUGUGGGAUUUUGUAUGUACCAUAUGAAUAAGGAUCGGCUAACUCCGUGCCAGCAGCCGCGGUAAUACGGAGGAUCCGAGCGUUAUCCGGAUUUAUUGGGUUUAAAGGGAGCGUAGGUGGAUUGUUAAGUCAGUUGUGAAAGUUUGCGGCUCAACCGUAAAAUUGCAGUUGAAACUGGCAGUCUUGAGGACAGUAGAGGUGGGCGGAAUUCGUGGUGUAGCGGUGAAAUGCUUAGAUAUCACGAAGAACUCCGAUUGCGAAGGCAGUUCACUGGACUGCAACUGACACUGAGGCUCGAAAGUGUGGGUAUCAAACAGGAUUAGAUACCCUGGUAGUC